This 1488-nucleotide ribosomal RNA is filed under the name Tigrigobius limbaughi. RNAcentral describes it as "partial 16S ribosomal RNA". It matches the Rfam family "Bacterial large subunit ribosomal RNA", at positions 393 to 2597 of the family's 2925-position model. Lineage: Eukaryota; Metazoa; Chordata; Actinopteri; Gobiiformes; Gobiidae. The record is from RNAcentral.
ACCUCAACAGCUAGCCCAACUAAGCAAAACAACAACCAAUAUUAAUACCCCCACAAGCAACAAUAGAAACAAAGCAAACCAUUUUACCACCCUAGUACGGGAGACAGAAAAGGACAAAGGCGCUAUAGAGACAGUACCGCAAGGGAACGCUGAAAAAGAAGUGAAAAAACUCAAUGAAGGCUAUAGAAGCAGAGCCUAACCCUCGUACCUUUUGCAUCAUGAUUUAGCAAGCAAGAUCAAGCAAAGAGUCCCUUAAGUUUAAUACCCCGAAACUGGACGAGCUACUCCGAGUCAGCCUAAGUAGGGCGAACCCGUCUCUGUGGCAAAAGAGUGGGAAGAACUCCGAGUAGAGGUGAUAGACCUACCGAGCCCAGUUAUAGCUGGUUGCCUGGGAAUUGAAUAGAAGUUCGACCCCCUAACUCCUUCCCCCCACCCAGAGAACCCUCAACCUCAGGCCCAAAGGAGGUUAGGGGAGCUACUCAAGGGAGGUACAGCUCCCUUGAGAUAAGACACAACUUUUUUAGGAGGAUAAGGACUAAAAGGAGCAAGGCACAUAUCUGUGUGGGCCUAAGAGCAGCCACCUCAACAGAAAGCGUUAAAGCUCAAAUAUAUGUUGCCUAUAAUUCCAGCCAUCUUUUCCUACCCCCCUUUAAGUACCAGGCUCUCCCAUGCCCCCAUGGGAGAAAAACUGCUAAUAUGAGUAACAAGGGAAGUCCGACUCCCUCCGAGCCACCGUGUAAUCAGAACAGACACUAACUGAACAUUAACGCCCCUAUAAAAGAAGGUACUGGGAUUUAAUUAGAACAACUAGCCAUUCUCCCACAUGACAGCGUUAACCCUACACCGGAAAGCCUAAGGAAAGACACUAAGGGGAAGAAGGAACUCGGCAAACAUUAGCCUCGCCUGUUUACCAAAAACAUCGCCUCUUGCAAGCUCUAUAUAAGAGGUCCCGCCUGCCCUGUGACGCAAGUUUAACGGCCGCGGUAUUUUGACCGUGCGAAGGUAGCGUAAUCACUUGUCUUUUAAAUGAAGACCUGUAUGAAUGGCAUAACGAGGGCUAAGCUGUCUCCUUCCCCUUGUCAGUGAAAUUGAUCUGUCCGUGCAGAAGCGGACAUGAACACAUAAGACGAGAAGACCCUAUGGAGCUUAAGGCCUAAAAGCAGAUUACGUUAAUUAACUCCUAUAAAAGAUGACAAACCAAGUAAUUGCUGCCAGACUGCCUUUGGUUGGGGCGACCACGGAGAAACAAAAAACCCCCGAGCGGAAUGGGCAUAAACCCUUAGUCCUGAGCCACAGCUCUCACACCCAGAACUUCUGACCACAAGAUCCGGCAAAGCCGAUCAACGGACCCAGUUACCCUAGGGAUAACAGCGCAAUCCUCUUUUAGAGCCCAUAUCGACAAGAGGGUUUACGACCUCGAUGUUGGAUCAGGACAUCCUAUUGGUGCAGCCGCUAUUAAGGGUUCGUUUGUUCAACGAUUAAAGUCCU